RNAcentral lists this long non-coding RNA (500 nucleotides) under Phoenix dactylifera (date palm). RNAcentral describes it as "long non-coding RNA (PDAC_LNC012215)". The record is from RNAcentral. Lineage: Eukaryota; Viridiplantae; Streptophyta; Magnoliopsida; Arecales; Arecaceae.
GUCUUUGAUUCGACCAAGAUGAAACUUGAUUUAGGCUCAGAGGUGUAGCCCGAGUCAUUUAAGUAAUCAAAUCGAAAUUGAUUAACCAGUCGGUGUCUAAGAUAAGUUUGGCAGUUUUGACUGGUGGUUUUUAAUUGGGAGCUACUCGCACUGAUUCGUCUUUGUCGAGUUAAUGGCAUAUCCCUUCCACCGAUCUCACUUAUCUGGCCGACAUGGUCAAUCACAUUUUAAUUGGAUCACUUAAUGAUUCGAGUUAGCCCAUGCCUUAAGAAAAAUCAGUAUGACUGAUUUAGGUGUCUUCUUAACCGGUUUGAGUCUAAUCUGAUUUGGUGAAGUCAGUGGAAGAAAUUAGACUAACCGGAUCUUCUUAUCUAUCCUAAUUAUGAAAUCCUCUAAAAUUAUUAGGUCCUUAAAAUGAAAUGGUUAUGGGGAUAACUAGGUCAUAGCCUCCCAUUAAGUUGGGUAAUAAUGGGUCCAAUGUUUUGAUAAUUAUUGGAGGC